RNAcentral lists this ribosomal RNA (511 nucleotides) under uncultured bacterium. RNAcentral's name for it is "bacterial SSU rRNA". It matches the Rfam family "Bacterial small subunit ribosomal RNA", at positions 406 to 925 of the family's 1533-position model. The record is from RNAcentral.
GGAUGACGGCCUUCGGGUUGUAAACUCCUUUCGCUAGGGACGAAGCUUUUUGUGACGGUACCUAGAUAAAAAGCACCGGCUAACUACGUGCCAGCAGCCGCGGUAAUACGUAGGGUGCGAGCGUUGUCCGGAAUUACUGGGCGUAAAGGGCUCGUAGGUGGUUUGUCGCGUCGUCUGUGAAAUUCCGGGGCUUAACUCCGGGCGUGCAGGCGAUACGGGCAUAACUUGAGUACUGUAGGGGUAACUGGAAUUCCUGGUGUAGCGGUGAAAUGCGCAAAUAUCAGGAGGAACCCCGAUGGCGAAGGCAGGUUACUGGGCAGUUACUGACGCUGAGGAGCGAAAGCAUGGGUAGCGAACAGGAUUAGAUACCCUGGUAGUCCAUGCCGUAAACGGUGGGCGCUAGGUGUGAGGGUCUUUUCACGACUUUCGUGCCGUAGCUAACGCAUUAAGCGCCCCGCCUGGGGAGUACGGCCGCAAGGCUAAAACUCAAAGGAAUUGACGGAUAAUUUUU